GCCGCUUGUAGAAUUCGGCUAAGCCAUGCAAGUCAGAGCACCUUGAGUGCUCGCGAACGGCUCAGUAACACGUAGCUAACCUACCCUAUGAUGGCGGAUAACCUUGGGAAACUGAGGGUAAUACGCCAUAGUUGAUUAUUAUUGGAAUAUAUUUUCUACGAAAGUCUUCGGACGUCGUAGGAUGGGGCUGCGGUGGAUUAGGCUGUUGGUGGGGUAAUGGCCCACCAAACCUGUGAUCCAUAUGGGCUCUGAGAGGAGUAGCCCAGAGAAGGGAACUGAGACAAGGUCCCUAGCCCUACGGGGUGCAGCAGGCGCGGAACCUUUACAAUGCACGAAAGUGUGAUAAGGGAAUUCUACGUGCAAGCUAUGCUUGCUUUUCUCAAGUCUAAACCGCUUGGGGAAUAAGGGCUGGGCAAGACCCGUGCCAGCCGCCGCGGUAAUACGGGCAGCUCUAGUGGCGUUCGCGAAUAUUGGGCCUAAAGCGUACGUAGCCUGUUAAACAAGUUUCUGGUGAAAGCUUGCGACUUAAUCGUGAGAGUUGCCAGAAAAACUGUUUGACUUGGGACCGGAAGAGGUCGGAGGUAUUCCAGGGGUAGGGGUAAAAUCCUGUAAUCCUUGGAGGACCAUCGGUGGCGAAGGCGUCCGACUGGGACGG
RNAcentral lists this ribosomal RNA (655 nucleotides) under uncultured euryarchaeote. RNAcentral describes it as "bacterial SSU rRNA". It matches the Rfam family "Archaeal small subunit ribosomal RNA", at positions 26 to 688 of the family's 1478-position model. Lineage: Archaea; Methanobacteriati; Methanobacteriota. The record is from RNAcentral.